RNAcentral lists this ribosomal RNA (253 nucleotides) under uncultured bacterium. Its description in RNAcentral is "partial 16S ribosomal RNA". It matches the Rfam family "Bacterial small subunit ribosomal RNA", at positions 524 to 776 of the family's 1533-position model. The record is from RNAcentral.
UACAGAGGUCUCAAGCGUUAUCCGGAAUCAUUGGGCGUAAAGGGUGCGUAGGUGGCAUUGUUAGUCGUUUGUUAAAGACCGAGGCUCAACCUCGGAAGUGCGAACGAAACGGCAAUGCUUGAGUAUGUGAGAGGUAAGCGGAACUCAUGGUGUAGGGGUGAAAUUCGUAGAUAUCGGGAGGAACACCGGUGGCGAAGGCGGCGAUCUGGGUCGAUACUGACGCUGAGGUGCGAAAGCGUGGGGAGCAAACAGG